CACGUAGGUGGCGAGCGUUGUCCGGAUUUACUGGGCGUAAAGGGAGCGUAGGCGGACUUUUAAGUGAGAUGUGAAAUACCCGGGUUUAACUUGGGUGCUGCAUUUCAAACUGGAAGUCUAGAGUGCAGGAGAGGAGAAUGGAAUUCCUAGUGUAGCGGUGAAAUGCGUAGAUAUUAGGAGGAACACCAGUGGCGAAGGCGGCUUUCUGGACUGUAACUGACGCUGAGGCACGAAAGCGUGGGGAGCAAACAGGAUUAGAUACCCUGGUAGUCCCU
RNAcentral lists this ribosomal RNA (275 nucleotides) under uncultured prokaryote. Its description in RNAcentral is "partial 16S ribosomal RNA". It matches the Rfam family "Bacterial small subunit ribosomal RNA", at positions 524 to 798 of the family's 1533-position model. The record is from RNAcentral.